RNAcentral lists this ribosomal RNA (774 nucleotides) under uncultured Neocallimastigales. RNAcentral describes it as "partial large subunit ribosomal RNA". It matches the Rfam family "Eukaryotic large subunit ribosomal RNA", at positions 22 to 644 of the family's 3401-position model. The record is from RNAcentral. Lineage: Eukaryota; Fungi; Neocallimastigomycota; Neocallimastigomycetes; Neocallimastigales.
GUACACGCUGUGACUAGCAUAUCAAUAAGCGGAGGAAAAGAAUCUAACAAGGAUUCCCCUAGUAACGGCGAGUGAAGCGGGAAGAGCUCAAAUUUGAAAUCUUAAAGGGUUUCCCUUUACGAAUUGUAGUUUAAAGAAGUGUUUUCUGUUAAGGUUUUGGUAAAAGUUCUUUGGAAUAGGACAUCAUAGAGGGUGAGAAUCCCGUAUUUGACCUUUACUUUCAACUUUGUGAUACACUUUCAAAGAGUCGGAUUGUUUGGGAAUGCAGUCCAAAAUGGGUGGUAAAUUUCAUCUAAGGCUAAAUAUUGGCGAGAGACCGAUAGCGAAUAAGUACCGUGAGGGAAAGAUGAAAAGAACUUUGAAAAGAGAGUUAAACAGUACGUGAAAUUGUCAAAAGGGAAGCGUUUGACACCAGUAUUGUUUUUCUGAAAAUCAAUUAAAGAACUGUUUAUGCUAAGUUGUUUAGACUUUAUCAGCUAACUGUUUAGUUUUGAGCUUUUCUUUAAUGCACUUUUCAGUUAACAAGUCAACGUCAAUUUCUUUUGCUGUAAAAAAGCUUGAGGAAGGUGGCUUGAGAUUCGUCUUAAGUGUUUAUAGCCUCUUGCCUAUGCAGUCGGAGAGAUUGAGGUCUGCAGCGUAGAUCCUUCGGGGCUAAAUGCAUUUGUGCUAAGUUAUAGCAUUUUAUAGACAACUUGUUGACUAUGAUUUGUCUUGUAGCUUACUCGCUUAUGUUAUUUUACCUACGCUUAGGAUGUUGACGAGACUGUCGAUCUC